RNAcentral lists this ribosomal RNA (471 nucleotides) under uncultured bacterium. RNAcentral describes it as "bacterial SSU rRNA". It matches the Rfam family "Bacterial small subunit ribosomal RNA", at positions 51 to 568 of the family's 1533-position model. The record is from RNAcentral.
ACACAUGCAAGUCGAACGAACCCUUCGGGGUGAGUGGCGCACGGGUGCGUAACGCGUGGGAAUGUACACCUUGGUAAGGAAUAACUGCUGGAAACGGUAGCUAAUACCUUAUAAUGACUCCGGUCCAAAGAUUUAUCGCCAAGGAAUCAGCCCGCGUUAGAUUAGUUUGUUGGUGGGGUAACGGCCUACCAAGACUACGAUCUAUAGGGGUUCUGAGAGGAUGAUCCCCCACACUGGUACUGAGACACGGACCAGACUCCUACGGGAGGCAGCAGUGAGGAAUAUUGGACAAUGGGCGCAAGCCUGAUCCAGCCAUGCCGCGUGUAUGAAGAAGGCCUUAGGGUUGUAAAGUACUUUCAAACGUGAAGAUAAUGACGGUAGCGUUAGAAGAAGCUCCGGCUAAAUUCGUGCCAGCAGCCGCGGUAAUACGAAUGGAGCAAGCGUUGUUCGGAAUCACUGGUCUUAAAGCGU